Molecule: RNA transcript, 2875 nt
Organism: Triticum dicoccoides
Lineage: Eukaryota; Viridiplantae; Streptophyta; Magnoliopsida; Poales; Poaceae
Gene name: zinc finger CCCH domain-containing protein 25-like
Exons: 7
Source: RefSeq, a predicted model, not a curated record
UCCGCCCUGGCCGGGCCGGGUCGGGCCGGGCUGCCCAUGGCAGGACUACCCGCAGCCCUAUCGCUGCUCCUCUCCUGGUGCGCCGCUCGACCUCCUCCUUCCUCCCACUCAGGUGCGCCGCCGGCCCUCUUCCUCCCUCCCUCCCUGCUGCGCCGCCGGCCCUCUCCCUAGCUUCAGCUCGUGCGCGCCGCGGGUCCUCUCCCUCGCUCCACAUCUUGCGCCGCCGGACCUCUUCCUCGAUCCAUCUCCUGCGCCGCCGGUUUCCUUUCUUGCUGCCUCUCCUGCGCUGCCGGCGUGUCGGACGUUCAAAAAUCUCGUCCCCCCUUUGGGUUAGCGUAGACAGGCAAGGGGGCGGCAUUACCACCGGUGGAGAUUGCACACUAGGACCGACCCCAGGCUUUAUGGACUAGCCAAGAACCCUAAACAAAAAAAUCCCCAUCUUCUUCCCCUCCAAAUCUCCCAAUCCCCUGCUCAUUCGAGAAAAUCUACCCGAGAUUCCGCACGAGCACCGCCGGUUCCCUCUAAGAAGGGGAGGGAUCCGACCCAUCUCCGCGCCGGCAAAUCGGGGAAGAUGAAUCCCCUGACGCAGGUGAAGCGGACGCAGGUGAUAAACCAGAAGGAGGCGGCGCUGGGCCUCAGCGAGGACGCAUCCUGGCACGCCAAGUUCAGGGGCUCCGCCUACGUCUUCGUCGGAGGCGUCCCCUUCGACCUCACCGAAGGCGACCUCCUCGCCGUCUUCGCGCAGUACGGCGAGGUGGUCGAUGUGAACCUCGUGCGCGACAAGGCCACCGGCAAGUCCAAGGGCUUCGCAUUCGUCGCCUAUGAGGACCAGAGGAGCACGGUUCUUUCCGUCGAUAACUUGAAUGGGGCUAAGGUUCUUGGGAGGAUCAUCAGGGUUGACCAUGUGGAGAAGUACAAGAAGAAGGAGGAGGAGGACGAUGAGGAGCUGCAGAAGAAGAGAGAGGAGCGCGGCGUGUGCUAUGCUUUCCAGAAAGGCGAGUGCAACCGCGGCGAUGCGUGCAAAUAUUCCCAUGAUGAACAGAGAAAUGCAAACACUGGUUGGGGUUCUAAGGAGGAUGACCCAAAAUGGGAGCAUGACAGACACCGUGGUCCACAAAAUAAGGGGGAAUCCCGUGGUGUCUGCUAUGCUUUCCAGAAAGGCGAAUGCAGUCGGGGAGAUACCUGCAGGUUUUCGCAUGAUGAGCAGGUAGCUGUCCAGGGACGUGGCGUCUGCUAUGCUUUCCAGAAAGGCGAGUGCAGUCGCGUAGCUUCCUGCAGAUUUUCACAUGAUGAGCAGAGAAAUGCAAACACUGAUCGAGGUUCUAGGGAGGACAGCAAUGCAAGGCGGCAGCAUGACCAUGAUCCACCAAAGAGCCACAAAAAUUUCCCUGACAGGACUAAAGAAGAGGCGAGAUCAGGGGAUAGGGAUGGUCAAUCCUCAAGAUCAGAGUUGUACAGGGACCGAGAUUCUAGGACAAGAUAUGGCGAUAGAGACACAAAAGAUAGGGACAGGAACAUGCAGGAGAAAUCCCCUGAGAGAUCCAGAGGCGACAGGCAGAGAGGCGAUGACAGGGGAAGAGAAGAUAGAUCAGACACAAAAGAUAGGGACAGGAACGGGCACGAGAAAUCCCCUGAGAGAUCAAGAGGCGACAGGCAGAGAGGUGAUGACAGGGGGAGAGAAGAUAGAUCAGACGUAAAAGAUAGAGACAGGAACGGGUACGAGAAAUCCCCCGAGAGACCAAGAGGCGAUAGGCAGAGGGGCGAUGACAGGCGAAGAGAAGAUAGAUCAGAGAGCAAGCGGUCUAGGCACGACAGAGAUUCUGGUGUCCGUUACGAGAGAAGAGGCGACGAAGAGGAAGAACGGUACAGGAAAUCGCGGAGAUAAAACUUGGGUUUUCAGGGCACGCGCUGCCGUUGCUAUUCUAAUCUGGUUGAUGUUUGUACUUGUACAAGGGUUUCAACUCAAUCCAUUGGUUUCCACAGCAGUGUUCAUUAUUGUUAUAACACUUAUCUGGUGAAUCUUGUACCACUAUGGAAAGUUUUAUCAGUAAGUGAUGAGCUGGAGAUGAGAUGAACAGAACUUUUCGACAAAGGAGAUGAACAGAACUACACAACCUAAAUAACAAAGAACCCACAGCAAACACGCACGCUCUGAAGGUCUCUGCCACGGGCUCCAAAAAAUAAAAAUGAAAGCAAACAUGCCCUACAGGCCUACACAUCGGAGAAAUCCAGGAACGUUGACUCGGCGAGAUCGAUGGCGUGAGCGAGGCCAGCGGCCUUGUUCUGGCACUCCUGCUGCUCGUCUUCCGGCUUGCUGUCGGCAACGAUCCCGGCGCCGGUCUGGAGGUGCGCCACCCACUCCUGGCGCGUUGCUGCUAUCAGAGGCGUACGAGUACAUGGUGUCGAACCGGGAUGCUGUCGGGAAGACGAUGGUGCGCAGCGCGAAGGGGAUCUGGCCGAAGCCACCGCUGCAUGGUCCGCGCAUCUUCACCUCCAUCUCGUCGGUCAGCUCCAUCGCUCUCACCUGCCGAGUUUCAGAAGGGAGCAUGUGGGAAACUUAUGAACAAACUCAGGGAGCAGCAUGGAUGAAUGGAAUCUGAGCAACCGUUUGCUGCAACUCGAGAAACAUGGUGGAUCUGGCGCCUAUUUAUACCCCAUCUGGCGUCGCGAUUGCUCUCCAAAACAAUUACUUAUUUUGAUUCCAAUGCAUUUAGGUAGGUGAUCAUGUGAUCGCCAUCAUUUCUAACCUUUUCUUAAUUGCCAUAGAAAAAAACAGAGCUAACAAGAUAGCAGCAAGUAUGUAUAAUGUACUACUUACCUUGGGAGCACAACUGACGGUUCCAACAGGCAAUGCAGCCCGCGGGGCAUCCCAACA